CUUGAUUCUCAUAAUAAGACUAUCCUACCUCCAAACAAGGUUAUCUGAAGAUAAUCAUUCUCCCUUCUUAAAAAGAAUAACCACCUUCAAUUUAAAGAUCAGUGCUUGCAUAAAAUCGUAGUUGGAGAGUAACUUCACUUUUAACAAAUUUUAUAUUUUAGUUUUCAAAUAAUUCACUUGUUCCAGAAGGCCUCUUCCCACAUGUAACGGACUGACAAUUUACUUUUCCAAUAAUUCACUUGUUCCAAGAAUUAACUGUCUCAAGUUCAGCAUGAUUGUCUCUCUCUGAUCCACACAGCAAGGCCCUAACACAUUUUGUACCAAAUAGUCUACCGACUAAGCUUUCAUCCUCACCUGCAAUGUUCAAUAGAGAAUAAUAAGGUUCAGCAAGGCCAUAUAGAAAGAUUUGGCCUUCUACAAAGCUUGAAUUAUGGGAAACAUAUCUGAAGAAAUUCACAAGAGAGUAAGGUCAACAAAGGAAAUUCACAAGAGAGUAAGCCC
This 501-nucleotide long non-coding RNA is filed under the name Hordeum vulgare. Its description in RNAcentral is "long non-coding RNA (HVUL_LNC015358)". The record is from RNAcentral. Lineage: Eukaryota; Viridiplantae; Streptophyta; Magnoliopsida; Poales; Poaceae.